This 486-nucleotide ribosomal RNA is filed under the name Truncattus cachotensis. RNAcentral's name for it is "partial 16S ribosomal RNA". The stretch from base 95 to 392 matches the Rfam family "Bacterial large subunit ribosomal RNA", at positions 2073 to 2647 of the family's 2925-position model. The record is from RNAcentral. Lineage: Eukaryota; Metazoa; Arthropoda; Arachnida; Araneae; Salticidae.
UAAAUGAAGACUAGAAUAAAAGAUUUAACAUUUUAAUAUAUUUAUUUUACUAAAACAUAUAACUUUUUUUUAAUGUAAAAAAACAUUAAUUUUAUAGAAAGACGACAAGACCCUAUUGAACUUAACUUUAGUUAAACUGGGGCAGUAAAUUAAUUAUAAUUUUAAUAUUUAUAUUAUUAUAAUAAUCCAAUUUAAAUGAAUUAUUCAGUUACCAUAGGGAUAACAGCGCAAUUAAUUUUUAAAGUUCUUAUAUAAAAAAUAGAUUACGACCUCGAUGUUGAAUUAAUAACCUAAUUUAAAGCAAUCUUUAAUAAAGGAAGUCUGUUCGACUUUUAAACAAUUACAUGAUUUGAGUUCAGACCGGUGUAAGCCAGGUCGGUUUCUAUCUUCUAAUUAAUUUUUACAGUACGAAAGGACCAAAAAAUUUAAAUAAUUUAAUAAUAUUGGCAGAAAAAUGCAUUAGAAUUAGAAUCUAAAUAAUCUUAU